This is a long non-coding RNA of Limanda limanda (common dab), 845 nucleotides long. RefSeq lists it as uncharacterized. The record is from RefSeq and is a predicted model, not a curated record. Lineage: Eukaryota; Metazoa; Chordata; Actinopteri; Pleuronectiformes; Pleuronectidae. The transcript has 3 exons.
UUUGCAGAGCUGAGUUUAAAGUCUUGUCAUUGAUGUGUCAGGUAUCAUCAAGUGUGGAGAAAACCCUUUUAUGGAAGCAGCAGUGAAAGAGAAGAAUACAGGAGGGAGCUGCUGGAACAGUUAAAGAGGCAGAUGGAGGAGAAACGUGUGGCCCUGAAACUGCAGCUGGUCGGUAAUGUGAAGGAGUCCGAGUAUUUAUGUGAAGUGGACCGUCUCGCCCUGUCCAGUGACAGAGAGCAAAGGAUCCAGCACAGCAGAGCAAUGACAGUGUUCAGAGACGAGAACAAGAAGCUAAUGGAGCAGAGCUGGAGGGACAGAGCACUAACACGCUCCCAGGAGAUCCUGAAGGAGAGAGAGCUGCUCCGCCUCAACCCCAUUAACUGGAGUGGAACACUGAAAUAGGUUGAACCUCAACAUCCUGGGGAACAGACUUCAGGCUUUGCUGCAGGACCUGGUUCGGCACAGGGGUCGGAUAACAUUGAAAAAUAACAUACUGUAUAUAAUGCAUGUAAUUACUGCUGUGAUAGUCAUUGAUGGAACAUUUGGAGGGGUUUAUAAUUAGCAUUAGAAUGUCACUGUUAUCUUAGAGUAUGGUAAAAAUCUAAACAUAGAACUGACACAAUUUAUAAUGGUGCUUCUGUUACAUUGUCAGACUUGUUUUUAAAGUUGACCAUAGUAUUAAAAUAGAUGCAGCAGAACCAGAGAUAUCGUCUUUCUUAUUCCAUUCGUUCAACCUUGUCUAAACCUGAUGCCUACAUUACCCACAAUGCAACUUGACCAGCAAAUGUUGAGAGUUUUUGCAUCUCCUUUAAUUUAUGACAAAACAUGCUGUUGAAGAAAACAAA